CAAACCUCAAUCCAGUAGGUCAUGUAUGGGACAAGCAAUGAAUGAUACAGCGUAACCAAUGAAUGCUGGGAGAGGAAGUAUUGUGCUUUGUACAGAAUUGUGAUAACUUUUGAGAUUUUGGAUUUAGCAUAAUUUAUAUGAGUUUUCCAACUUAAUUUAUCAUUAAUAAAAACUCUAAGAAACUUAAUUUAUUUACUUAAAGCAAAAAGAAACUU
Long non-coding RNA from Thalassophryne amazonica, 215 nucleotides. RefSeq lists it as uncharacterized. Lineage: Eukaryota; Metazoa; Chordata; Actinopteri; Batrachoidiformes; Batrachoididae. The record is from RefSeq and is a predicted model, not a curated record. The transcript is spliced from 3 exons.